Molecule: ribosomal RNA, 535 nt
Filed under: bacterium
Lineage: Bacteria
Description: bacterial SSU rRNA
Rfam family: Bacterial small subunit ribosomal RNA
Source: RNAcentral
CGGAGCUAAUACCGGAUAAUAUAUUGAACCGCAUGGUUCAAUAGUGAAAGACGGUUUUGCUGUCACUUAUAGAUGGAUCCGCGCCGCAUUAGCUAGUUGGUAAGGUAACGGCUUACCAAGGCAACGAUGCGUAGCCGACCUGAGAGGGUGAUCGGCCACACUGGAACUGAGACACGGUCCAGACUCCUACGGGAGGCAGCAGUAGGGAAUCUUCCGCAAUGGGCGAAAGCCUGACGGAGCAACGCCGCGUGAGUGAUGAAGGUCUUCGGAUCGUAAAACUCUGUUAUUAGGGAAGAACAAAUGUGUAAGUAACUAUGCACGUCUUGACGGUACCUAAUCAGAAAGCCACGGCUAACUACGUGCCAGCAGCCGCGGUAAUACGUAGGUGGCAAGCGUUAUCCGGAAUUAUUGGGCGUAAAGCGCGCGUAGGCGGGUUUUUUAAGUCUGAUGUGAAAGCCCACGGCUCAACCGUGGAGGGUCAUUGGAAACUGGGAAAACUUGGAGUGCAGGAAGAAGGAAAGGGGGAAUUCCAUGG